RNAcentral lists this ribosomal RNA (497 nucleotides) under uncultured bacterium. RNAcentral describes it as "partial 16S ribosomal RNA". It matches the Rfam family "Bacterial small subunit ribosomal RNA", at positions 28 to 507 of the family's 1533-position model. The record is from RNAcentral.
GAUGAACGCUGGCGGCGUGCCUAAUACAUGCAAGUCGAGCGAACAGACGAGGAUCUUGCUCCUCUUACUUUCGCGGCGCACGGGUGAGUAACACGUGUAUACCACUCCUAUAAGACUGGGGUAACUUCGGGAAACCGGCGCUAAUAUCGGCUAAUAUAUUGAACCGCAUGGUUCAUUUGUGAAAGACGCUCUUGCUGUCACUUAUAGAUGGAUCCGCGCCGCAUUAGCUAGUUGGUAUGGUAACGGCAUACCAAGGCAACGAUGCGUAGAUGACCUGACAGGAGGAUCGGCCAAACUAGAACUGAGACACGGUCCAGACUCGUACGGGAGGCAGCAGUAGGGUAUCGUCCGCAAUGGGCGAGAGCUUGACGGAGCAACGCCGCGUGAGGGAUGAGGGUCUUCGGAUCGUAAAACUCUGUUACUAGGGAAGAACAAAUGUGUAAGUAACUAUGCACGUCUUGACGGUACCUAAUCAGAAAGCCACGGCUAACUACGUG